UACGUAGGGGGCAAGCGUUGUCCGGAAUUAUUGGGCGUAAAGCGUGCGUAGGCGGCUAUUUAAGUCGGAUGUGAAAGCCCCGGGCUCAACCUGGGAGGUGCAUCCGAUACUGGGUAGCUAGAGUGUAGUAGAGGGAGGUGGAAUUUCCGGUGUAGCGGUGAAAUGCGUAGAGAUCGGAAGGAACACCAGUGGCGAAGGCGGCCUCCUGGACUAACACUGACGCUGAGGUACGAAAGCGUGGGGAUCAAACAGG
Molecule: ribosomal RNA, 253 nt
Filed under: uncultured bacterium
Lineage: Bacteria
Description: partial 16S ribosomal RNA
Rfam family: Bacterial small subunit ribosomal RNA
Source: RNAcentral